UUCCUUUUCACCCUAGCAUGCCCUAUUUCCACAAAUGAUCCAUCCGUCUGUCCAAAAAAGCCCCUCCUGUACACCCUUUUUCAGAAAGCUACGGGGCGCACGCGGGGAGUGGGAGGGGGGAGUAAGGUUUCAAUAAAACAAGGAACUAAACCAAGAAAGAACACACGGAUCCAGGGAAGGGAGAUUCCAGCCCAGGAGAAAGAGAGGUCCAGGAAUUUCGCAGGAUGACCGAGAACUCCCAAGAUAACUGCUCUGCAGAGAAGCAGAGAACGACCUUUCCAGUGGGAGCCAAGAUGAGACCGAAAGGCUGGUGGACUGGCAGGGGACGGGGACGGGGAGGCGGAGGGGCUGGCAGGGGACGGGGAGGAGGCGGUGCAGGAGGGGGUCAACAGGCAGCCUAAGGGAGCUUGAGCUCGAGGGCCCCUUCAUGGGCCUCUCAGCAGGGCCCAGGCUGCAGCAAGUCCUCACAGGAUCCCAAGCUUUGGUACGUUAUGGGAAGCGAGGCUAUUUGAAUUACCAUCACUGCAGAUGGGCAGAGUCACUUUCCACGGCUUCCCCUUCCCUCCCCUCCUGCACGCUUCCCUUCGUGGCCGGUGGCCUUUUUAACAUGCCACUAAGAAGCUGAGUUGAAACACAGUGCGGCUUGCGUCGGAGAGGGUCCCUGAUUGACGCCUCGCCAUCACGGCACCCCUCCCUAAGGUUGGCCCACCUGCCCAGGCAUGGCUUCCGGGGGUGCUGCCGCCCCUGCUCCGCCUGCGAAGACUCCCGUGACAUGAAGGUGGGCCGCGAGCCACCCUGAAGCAUGGACUUCAGUAAUAAAAAAGAAACACUCCGGAGGAAACCUCUUAUCUUCCUCUUCUCUCUAUGGAAAGUCACCGUACGACCCCCUUACCACCUGCAGAAAUAGACAAUAAGCAUGUGGCCACAAAGUGUGGGGAAGACGGAUUUCACAGGUGUUUUGAAAGAUUAUUAAAAAUAUAUCACGGGAGUUCCCUUUGUGGCUCAGCGGUUAAUGAGGAUGUGGAUUCGCUUCCACUGCGCCACGAUGGGAACUCCUCAUUAAUUUUUACGCUUAAUUUUCUAUUACUAAUUUAGCAUUUCUUUCCUAAGGAGAGCUCCCCACAAUUGUGUACCUUUCAGACCCCCUGAAACCUGGAUUCAUCCCAGGGGUUUUACGGGAAAAGUACAACGGAAAUGCUGGCUAUGUGACCAGUUGGCACCUGCAGAAAAUUGUGUGGUCAGGCUGGUUACAGUUAAGGAAGACUGCAAUUGGUUCAAAGAAGACAAAGCAAAAUUUUAAAUGAUUAACUUCAGAAGAAACAGAAGUUGUGCAAGAAAGGGAAUGUAAUCAGAUUAUACGACUUGACUCAGCAGUGAACAAUAUUGACACAGCUAUAACCGAUACAGUCUGCAUUUGGAUUUAAGUAAAAAUUGUUGUAGACUAAACUGGACAACUGUACCCAUCUACACGAUAAAAAAUGACU
This 1484-nucleotide long non-coding RNA is filed under the name Sus scrofa (pig). Its description in RNAcentral is "lncRNA (ENSSSCG00065066693.1)". Lineage: Eukaryota; Metazoa; Chordata; Mammalia; Artiodactyla; Suidae. The record is from RNAcentral.